RNAcentral lists this ribosomal RNA (482 nucleotides) under uncultured bacterium. RNAcentral describes it as "partial 16S ribosomal RNA". It matches the Rfam family "Bacterial small subunit ribosomal RNA", at positions 28 to 507 of the family's 1533-position model. The record is from RNAcentral.
GACGAACGCUGGCGGCGUGCUUAACACAUGCAAGUCGAACGCUGAAGCUCAGCUUGCUGGGUGGAUGAGUGGCGAACGGGUGAGUAACACGUGAGUAACCUGCCCUCUUCUUUGGGAUAACGCCCGGAAACGGGUGCUAAUACUGGAUAUUCACUGAUUCUCGCAUGGGGGUUGGUGGAAAGGUUUUUUCUGGUGGGGGAUGGGCUCGCGGCCUAUCAGCUUGUUGGUGGGGUGAUGGCCUACCAAGGCUUUGACGGGUAGCCGGCCUGAGAGGGUGACCGGUCACAUUGGGACUGAGAUACGGCCCAGACUCCUACGGGAGGCAGCAGUGGGGAAUAUUGUACAAUGGGCGAAAGCCUGAUGCAGCGACGCCGCGUGAGGGAUGGAGGCCUUCGGGUUGUAAACCUCUUUCGCUCAUGGUCAAGCCGCAGCUUUGGGUUGUGGUGAGGGUAGUGGGUAAAGAAGCGCCGGCUAACUACGUG